GACGCUGGCGGCAGGCCUAACACAUGCAAGUCGAGCGGUAGAGAGAAGCUUGCUUCUCUUGAGAGCGGCGGACGGGUGAGUAAUGCCUAGGAAUCUGCCUGGUAGUGGGGGAUAACGUUCGGAAACGGACGCUAAUACCGCAUACGUCCUACGGGAGAAAGCAGGGGACCUUCGGGCCUUGCGCUAUCAGAUGAGCCUAGGUCGGAUUAGCUAGUUGGUGAGGUAAUGGCUCACCAAGGCGACGAUCCGUAACUGGUCUGAGAGGAUGAUCAGUCACACUGGAACUGAGACACGGUCCAGACUCCUACGGGAGGCAGCAGUGGGGAAUAUUGGACAAUGGGCGAAAGCCUGAUCCAGCCAUGCCGCGUGUGUGAAGAAGGUCUUCGGAUUGUAAAGCACUUUAAGUUGGGAGGAAGGGUUGUAGAUUAAUACUCUGCAAUUUUGACGUUACCGACAGAAUAAGCACCGGCUAACUCUGUGCCAGCAGCCGCGGUAAUACAGAGGGUGCAAGCGUUAAUCGGAAUUACUGGGCGUAAAGCGCGCGUAGGUGGUUUGUUAAGUUGGAUGUGAAAUCCCCGGGCUCAACCUGGGAACUGCAUUCAAAACUGACUGACUAGAGUAUGGUAGAGGGUGGUGGAAUUUCCUGUGUAGCGGUGAAAUGCGUAGAUAUAGGAAGGAACACCAGUGGCGAAGGCGACCACCUGGACUAAUACUGACACUGAGGUGCGAAAGCGUGGGGAGCAAACAGGAUUAGAUACCCUGGUAGUCCACGCCGUAAACGAUGUCAACUAGCCGUUGGAAGCCUUGAGCUUUUAGUGGCGCAGCUAACGCAUUAAGUUGACCGCCUGGGGAGUACGGCCGCAAGGUUAAAACUCAAAUGAAUUGACG
Molecule: ribosomal RNA, 888 nt
Filed under: uncultured Pseudomonas sp.
Lineage: Bacteria; Pseudomonadati; Pseudomonadota; Gammaproteobacteria; Pseudomonadales; Pseudomonadaceae
Description: bacterial SSU rRNA
Rfam family: Bacterial small subunit ribosomal RNA
Source: RNAcentral